Molecule: ribosomal RNA, 447 nt
Filed under: uncultured bacterium
Lineage: Bacteria
Description: bacterial SSU rRNA
Rfam family: Bacterial small subunit ribosomal RNA
Source: RNAcentral
GGCCAGACUCCUACGGGAGGCAGCAGUGGGGAAUAUUGCACAAUGGGGGAAACCCUGAUGCAGCGACGCCGCGUGAGUGAAGAAGUAUUUCGGUAUGUAAAGCUCUAUCAGCAGGGAAGAAAAUGACGGUACCUGACUAAGAAGCCCCGGCUAACUACGUGCCAGCAGCCGCGGUAAUACGUAGGGGGCAAGCGUUAUCCGGAUUUACUGGGUGUAGAGGGAGCGUAGACGGCAUGGCAAGUCAGAUGUGGAAGCCCGGGGCUCAACCCCGGGACUGCAUUUGAAACUGUCAGGCUGGAGUGCAGGAGAGGUAAGUGGAAUUCCUAGUGUAGCGGUGAAAUGCGUAGAUAUUAGGAGGAACACCAGUGGCGAAGGCGGCUUACUGGACUGUAACUGACGUUGAGGCUCGAAAGCGUGGGGAGCAAACAGGAUUAGAUACCCCUGUAG